RNAcentral lists this ribosomal RNA (253 nucleotides) under uncultured bacterium. Its description in RNAcentral is "partial 16S ribosomal RNA". It matches the Rfam family "Bacterial small subunit ribosomal RNA", at positions 524 to 776 of the family's 1533-position model. The record is from RNAcentral.
UACGUAGGGUGCGAGCGUUAAUCAGAAUUACUGGGCGUAAAGCGUGCGCAGGCGGUUGUGUAAGACAGAUGUGAAAUCCCCGGGCUCAACCUGGGAACUGCAUUUGUGACUGCACAGCUGGAGUGCGGCAGAGGGGGAUGGAAUUCCGCGUGUAGCAGUGAAAUGCGUAGAUAUGCGGAGGAACACCGAUGGCGAAGGCAAUCCCCUGGGCCUGCACUGACGCUCAUGCACGAAAGCGUGGGGAGCAAACAGG